This is a long non-coding RNA of Branchiostoma belcheri (Belcher's lancelet), 324 nucleotides long. RefSeq lists it as uncharacterized. The record is from RefSeq and is a predicted model, not a curated record. The transcript is spliced from 2 exons. Lineage: Eukaryota; Metazoa; Chordata; Leptocardii; Amphioxiformes; Branchiostomatidae.
GCCAAUAUUACGAAUUACGUUAAAGUCUCAGACCUUAUAACUACUUUACGCUUUGCAGCUACUGUUCUGUUACGGAUUACGUUGAUUUUUGGGAGGUUGUCUACGUAUUAUGAAGCUGAAAAGGCCUGAUUACGCCUUACGAAAAACGGCAUGCAGGCCCCGAGAAAAAUCCCACCAUUCCUCGCGCGAACUGUAACAUCCGGUUUGUUUGUCGUUCUAAAUGUUGAAGUUGACGGCUGUAGUACCGGGGUAAUACCUUAUUUGCGAAAUGCCUAGACGUAAGAAGAAAAAAUUGACUGAGAGGUUGAGUGCAUGGAAGGAAGA